CCACCCCCAGUUGUUAUCCCAUUGGUUGACUGUUGUUCCCUCCCCUUGUUACCUACCCCAUAUAAAAUGGCCGUGCACACAGUGAUGGGUGCCUUUUGGGGCAUAUCUUCCGUCUGGCCCUAGUUGUCUCCUCAGACUUCUAAUAAACUCAGAACGUGGAUACCCCCGAAAGGACCACUCCUCGCUUUUGUCACUGUUGUCACGCACCUCAUCCUGUCUGGCGGCUUCAGGCCCACAGGCCAUAGUUCUUGCCUGCAGUGGUAUGUGAACGUGGCCCUUGCUGCCUGCAGUGCCAAGGGUACUGGACUGCCAGAGACCUUGGGAAGGCACCGUGACAGGCAACUCAGGGAUCGGGAUCACCUUGGCACAACUAUCUGGUAACCAAAAGAGCUAUAGAUGUUCUCAUCAGUUAGAUCUCAAUGAAAUGCAUAUGGAGGCUACAGCUGAAGGACUUGAGGGGCAGGCUGCCAUUUGGAGGAACCUAUGGGAUGAAUGGACAACAGACUUAGGGAACAAAAGCCCUUGAAGAAGGAAAUAGAAUUUUCCAGUCUGAGGAAGACACAGUUUUGAGGGGUCCAGAAGCCUUCCACUACCUAGGAGGAGGUUAUAAAACGACUGUUACAGGUUUUCCUGUGAUGCCUGUCAAGAGAACAAGAAACUAUAGACAUGAAUGAGAAAAAUAAUGUUUCCAGCUGGGUAUAACGCAUGAGGACACCCAAUAAGUGAAGUAGGUUACUUAGAGAGGGUAUACAAACUCUACUUUGAUGUUUUCAAGACCAGGUUGUGUAAAUCUCUAUGCAACUCUAUUUAGAGCAAGAUUUUACCCUAAAUCUUUCCUGAAGUGCCUUCCAACCUAAAGUAUCUUAUAUCAUUAUUAAAAGAAAAAACACAAA
This is a non-coding RNA of Taeniopygia guttata (zebra finch), 893 nucleotides long. NCBI's taxonomy places the organism in Eukaryota, Metazoa, Chordata, Aves, Passeriformes, Estrildidae. The record is from RefSeq and is a predicted model, not a curated record.